RNAcentral lists this ribosomal RNA (696 nucleotides) under Bacillus thuringiensis. RNAcentral describes it as "bacterial LSU rRNA". It matches the Rfam family "Bacterial large subunit ribosomal RNA", at positions 1555 to 2261 of the family's 2925-position model. Lineage: Bacteria; Bacillati; Bacillota; Bacilli; Caryophanales; Bacillaceae. The record is from RNAcentral.
GCUGAGCUGUGAUGGGGAAGCUCCUUAUGGAGCGAAGUCUUUGAUUCCCCGCUGCCAAGAAAAGCUUCUAGCGAGAUAAAAGGUGCCUGUACCGCAAACCGACACAGGUAGGCGAGGAGAGAAUCCUAAGGUGUGCGAGAGAACUCUGGUUAAGGAACUCGGCAAAAUGACCCCGUAACUUCGGGAGAAGGGGUGCUUUCUUAACGGAAAGCCGCAGUGAAUAGGCCCAAGCGACUGUUUAGCAAAAACACAGCUCUCUGCGAAGCCGUAAGGCGAAGUAUAGGGGGUGACACCUGCCCGGUGCUGGAAGGUUAAGGAGAGGGGUUAGCGUAAGCGAAGCUCUGAACUGAAGCCCCAGUAAACGGCGGCCGUAACUAUAACGGUCCUAAGGUAGCGAAAUUCCUUGUCGGGUAAGUUCCGACCCGCACGAAAGGUGUAACGAUUUGGGCACUGUCUCAACCAGAGACUCGGUGAAAUUAUAGUACCUGUGAAGAUGCAGGUUACCCGCGACAGGACGGAAAGACCCCGUGGAGCUUUACUGUAGCCUGAUAUUGAAUUUUGGUACAGUUUGUACAGGAUAGGCGGGAGCCAUUGAAACCGGAGCGCUAGCUUCGGUGGAGGCGCUGGUGGGAUACCGCCCUGACUGUAUUGAAAUUCUAACCUACGGGUCUUAUCGACCCGGGAGACAGUGUCAGG